Molecule: long non-coding RNA, 643 nt
Organism: Aplysia californica (California sea hare)
Lineage: Eukaryota; Metazoa; Mollusca; Gastropoda; Aplysiida; Aplysiidae
Exons: 2
Source: RefSeq, a predicted model, not a curated record
GCGUAUGGCACUAGGAGCACGGGGAGGCUGGCCAAGUGACGCUAGCUUCUGUAGAGAGAAAGAGAGAGAGAGAGAGAGCAUCUCACACACAUAGCUUGUCGCUCCCGCACGUCCCCGGUGGCUGGAAACACUAUUGACGUGGUGAGAGUGAGUGAGCGAGCAAGCGAGCUGCUGGCGCUGUUGUCGGGGGCUUGUGAGGAGGAGUCGGGAGGACCGUACCUUGGUGCUUGCUGCUGAUGCUGCUGCUGCAGGACAGAGAAGAUCGACUACUACAGGAGGAGGAGGACGACCUCUUUCUGCGUCUUCCCAGGCAAGUGGACAGGAAAGAAGUUUUUGGAAAAAUACUUGUGCUUUUACACGGAGUCUGGACCAUCGUUCAUGCAGUAGGAAUUAUUACAGAACCGGAAGCAGUAUUUGCCAGUUCCGGCGACUGUUGUUGUUGUGGUGGGCUGCUGUUUUUCAUGGACGUCGGCUUACCAGAGAUUCUUUAGAGGAUAUUGCCGACUACCGCUUCCACUAUUCUCGUUCAUGAGAGAUGUAUUAUUAUUAUUAUUAUCAUUGUACAAAUUAAUCGUUAUUUCUGUAAGUAAGUUAGCGUCUUUCAUAUUCUGAGCUCUUUUGUGUGAAGGGGUCAAGAAAAAAA